This 253-nucleotide ribosomal RNA is filed under the name uncultured bacterium. RNAcentral describes it as "partial 16S ribosomal RNA". It matches the Rfam family "Bacterial small subunit ribosomal RNA", at positions 524 to 776 of the family's 1533-position model. The record is from RNAcentral.
UACAGAGGGUGCGAGCGUUAAUCGGAGUUAUUGGGCGUAAAGGGCGCGUAGGUGGUUUAUUAAGAAAGAGGUGAAAACCCUGGGCUUAACCUGGGACGUGCCUCUUAGACUGAUAGGCUAGAGUAUUGUAGAGGGUAGAGGAAUUUCCGGUGUAGCGGUGAAAUGCGUAGAGAUCGGAAGGAACACCAGUGGCGAAGGCGGCUACCUGGACAAAUACUGACACUGAGGCGCGAGAGCGUGGGUAGCAAACAGG